This is a long non-coding RNA of Oryzias melastigma (Indian medaka), 525 nucleotides long. RefSeq lists it as uncharacterized. The record is from RefSeq and is a predicted model, not a curated record. Lineage: Eukaryota; Metazoa; Chordata; Actinopteri; Beloniformes; Adrianichthyidae. The transcript is spliced from 2 exons.
GUUCAUUCAAUCAGAAUGUGGAGACAUCUGACUGAACUAAUCAGCAGCUAGGAGGGCUUGGAGAUCUGGAAAACAUGCAGGGUGGCGGCUCUCGAGGACCUGGAAUGAGGAACACUGGUCUAAGUCAUGUUUUUAGAGGAGCUACCGUCACCAAUCAUCAAUGAGCUUGUUCAGUCUUGUUCAGUCCACACCCCUGUCUGUCAUCUGACCCGAACCGGACCCUGCUGGCGAGGAAGACAAAGAACAGAAGCGCCUGUUGACCGUCGUUGAAAAAUCCACGUCUGGUGUGGAUUGCAGGAGGGAGCGGAUGGUGCGCGCACUCUGCUCCGCGGCGCUUUCGCGUCCAGUGUGAACCUAGCGUGAGGCGCUCCCGCUGUUUCUUCAUUAAGGGGAGAACAGACAUUCAAUUCAAACACACAAUUGAUGUGCAAUUAAUGGACAUUAGAAAAAAACAUUCUUUAUAGUAGUUAUACUGUUAUUCACGAUUUAUACUACAUUUUAAUUAGUAAAAACAUAAAAAAAAAA